GAUGAACGCUGGCGGCGUGCCUAAUACAUGCAAGUCGAGCGAACAGAUGAGGAGCUUGCUCCUCUGACGUUAGCGGCGGACGGGUGAGUAACACGUGGAUAACCUACCUAUAAGACUGGGAUAACUUCGGGAAACCGGAGCUAAUACCGGAUAAUAUAUUGAACCGCAUGGUUCAAUAGUGAAAGACGGUUUUGCUGUCACUUUUAGAUGGAUCCGCGCCGCAUUAGCUAGUUGGUAAGGUAACGGCUUACCAAGGCGACGAUGCGUAGCCGACCUGAGAGGCUGAUCGGCCACACUGGAACUGAGACACGGUCCAGACUCCUACGGGAGGCAGCAGUAGGGAAUCUUCCGCAAUGGGCGAAAGCCUGACGGAGCAACGCCGCGUGAGUGAUGAAGGUCUUCGGAUCGUAAAACUCUGUUAUUAGGGAAGAACAAAUGUGUAAGUAACUAUGCACGUCUUGACGGUACCUAAUCAGAAAGCCACGGCUAACUACGUG
This 497-nucleotide ribosomal RNA is filed under the name uncultured bacterium. RNAcentral's name for it is "partial 16S ribosomal RNA". It matches the Rfam family "Bacterial small subunit ribosomal RNA", at positions 28 to 507 of the family's 1533-position model. The record is from RNAcentral.